RNAcentral lists this ribosomal RNA (469 nucleotides) under Comamonas sp. Its description in RNAcentral is "bacterial SSU rRNA". It matches the Rfam family "Bacterial small subunit ribosomal RNA", at positions 50 to 517 of the family's 1533-position model. The record is from RNAcentral. Lineage: Bacteria; Pseudomonadati; Pseudomonadota; Betaproteobacteria; Burkholderiales; Comamonadaceae.
UUUACCUGCAGUCGAACGGUAACAGGUCUUCGGAUGCUGACGAGUGGCGAACGGGUGAGUAAUACAUCGGAACGUGCCUAGUAGUGGGGGAUAACUACUCGAAAGAGUAGCUAAUACCGCAUGAGAUCUACGGAUGAAAGCAGGGGACCUUCGGGCCUUGUGCUACUAGAGCGGCUGAUGGCAGAUUAGGUAGUUGGUGGGGUAAAGGCUUACCAAGCCUGCGAUCUGUAGCUGGUCUGAGAGGACGACCAGCCACACUGGGACUGAGACACGGCCCAGACUCCUACGGGAGGCAGCAGUGGGGAAUUUUGGACAAUGGGCGAAAGCCUGAUCCAGCAAUGCCGCGUGCAGGAUGAAGGCCCUCGGGUUGUAAACUGCUUUUGUACGGAACGAAAAGCCUGGGGCUAAUAUCCCCGGGUCAUGACGGUACCGUAAGAAUAAGCACCGGCUAACUACGUGCCAGCAGCGG